CCUACGGGGGGCUGCAGUCGGGAAUAUUGGGCAAUGGGCGCAAGCCUGACCCAGCGACGCCGCGUGAGGGAUGAAGGCCUUCGGGUCGUAAACCUCUGUCGGGAGGGAAGAAUGGCGGUGAGGCGAAUAGUCUCGCUGGCUGACGGUACCUCCAAAGGAAGCGCCGGCUAACUCCGUGCCAGCAGCCGCGGUAAUACGGAGGGCGCAAGCGUUGUUCGGAAUCACUGGGCGGGCCGGGUGUGUCGGCGGCGAAAUCCCGAGGCUCAACCUCGGAACUGCAUUCGAAACUGCUCGGCUCGAGUCCCGGAGAGGAUGGCGGAAUUCCCGGUGUAGGGGUGAAAUCCGUAGAUAUCGGGAGGAACACCAGUGGCGAAGGCGGCCAUCUGGACGGUGACUGACGCUGAGACGCGAAAGCGUGGGGAGCAAACAGGAUUAGAUACCCUAGUAGUC
RNAcentral lists this ribosomal RNA (450 nucleotides) under uncultured bacterium. RNAcentral describes it as "partial 16S ribosomal RNA". It matches the Rfam family "Bacterial small subunit ribosomal RNA", at positions 338 to 795 of the family's 1533-position model. The record is from RNAcentral.